RNAcentral lists this ribosomal RNA (1339 nucleotides) under uncultured organism. RNAcentral describes it as "partial 16S ribosomal RNA". It matches the Rfam family "Bacterial small subunit ribosomal RNA". The record is from RNAcentral.
GAGUUUGAUCCUGGCUCAGAACGUACGCUGGCGGCACGCCUAACACAUGCAAGUCGAACGAAGUAGCAAUACUUAGUGGCAGACGGGUGAGUAACAUGUGGGUAUCUACCCUUUGGCCUGGAAUAACACGAGGAAACUUGUGCUAAUACCGGAUAAGUCUUUACGGAGAAAGCUUUAUGCACCAUUGGAUGAGCCCGCACUUGAUUAGUUUGUUGGUAGGGUAAUGGCCUACCAAGACUAUGAUCAAUAGCUGAUUUGAGAGGAUGAUCAGCCACAUUGGGACUGAGACACGGCCCAAACUCCUACGGGAGGCAGCAGUGGGGAAUCUUGCACAAUGGAGGAAACUCUGAUGCAGCGAUGCCGCGUGAGUGAAGAAGGCCUUUGGGUUGUAAAGCUCUUUCGUCGGGGAAGAAAAUGACUGUACCCGAAUAAGAAGGUCCGGCUAACUUCGUGCCAGCAGCCGCGGUAAUACGAAGGGACCUAGCGUAGUUCGGAAUUACUGGGCUUAAAGAGUUCGUAGGUGGUUGAAAAAGUUGGUGGUGAAAUCCCAGAGCUUAACUCUGGAACUGCCAUCAAAACUUUUCAGCUAGAGUAUGAUAGAGGAAAGCAGAAUUUCUAGUGUAGAGGUGAAAUUCGUAGAUAUUAAUUUUUUUCAGUGUCGCAGGGAAACCGAUAAACACACCGCCUGGGGAGUACGACCGCAAGGUUAAAACUCAAAUGAAUUGACGGGGACCCGCACAAGUAGUGGAGCAUGUGGUUUAAUUCGAAGAUACGCGCAGAACCUUACCAACACUUGACAUGUUCGUCGCGACUCUAAGAGAUUAGAGUUUUCGGUUCGGCCGGACGAAACACAGGUGCUGCAUGGCUGUCGUCAGCUCGUGUCGUGAGAUGUUGGGUUAAGUCCCGCAACGAGCGCAACCCUCACUUUUAGUUGCCAUCAUUAAGUUGGGCACUCUGAAAGAACUGCCAGUGAUAAGCUGGAGGAAGGUGGGGAUGACGUCAAGUCCUCAUGGCCCUUACGUGUUGGGCUACACACGUGCUACAAUGGCAUCUACAACAGGAAGCAAAACGGCAACGUUAAGCAAAUCCCGAAAAGAUGCCUCAGUUCGGAUUGCACUCUGCAACUCGAGUGCAUGAGGCUGGAAUUACUAGUAAUCGUGGAUCAGCGUGCCACGGUGAAUGCGUUCCCGGGUCUUGUACACACCGCCCGUCACACCAUGGGAGUUGGUUCUACCUUAAGGCAAGGUUUUAAACCCUUGACCACGGUAUAGUCAGCGACUGGGGUGAAGUCGUAACAAGGUAGCCGUAGGGGAACCUGCGGCUGGAUCACCUCCUUUCU